Molecule: non-coding RNA, 123 nt
Organism: Mannheimia haemolytica PHL213
Lineage: Bacteria; Pseudomonadati; Pseudomonadota; Gammaproteobacteria; Pasteurellales; Pasteurellaceae
Source: Rfam
UCACCACCACACUUUAACCUGAUAUCUUUCGGGCAUUUGGUGUGUGCGGAAGAUAACUCUUCCGAGCAAGUGUAGCAAAUCAAUAAAGAUCUCUCGGAAGGCAACUUUCGAGAGAUUUUUUUA